AAAUUAUUUCAAUUUUCUUUCACAAUACUAUUACACUAUAAUUAAAAUUAUUUUUUCUUUAUUAAAUACUAAAACAAAUCUUUAUAUAAUUAUUUUUAAUAAUUUAAAAUUUAAAAAUAUAAAUUUAAUAAAUAAAAUAUAAUCAAUUUAUAUUGAUUUGCACAAAAAUCUUUUCAAUGUAAAUGAAAUACUUUACUUAAUAAGCUUUAAAUUGCAUUCUAGGUACACUUUCCAGUACAUCUACUAUGUUACGACUUAUCUUACCUUAAUAAUAAGAGUGACGGGCGAUGUGUGCAUAUUUUAGAGCUAAAAUCAAAUUAUUAGUCUUUAUAAUUUUACUAUCAAAUCCACCUUCAAUAAAUAUUUCAAAUUUAUAUUCGUAUAAAUAAAUUUAUUGUAACCCAUUUCUACUUAAAUAUAAGCUACACCUUGAUCUGAUAUAUUUUCUUUUUAAAAAUUUUGAAAAUUAACAUUCUUAUAAAAUAUUCUAAUAACGACGGUAUAUAAACUGAUUACAAACUUAAGUAAGGUCCAUCGUGGAUUAUCGAUUAUAGAACAGGUUCCUCUGAAUAGACUAAAAUACCGCCAAAUUUUUUAAGUUUCAAGAACAUAACUA
Molecule: ribosomal RNA, 616 nt
Filed under: Scathophaga tinctinervis
Lineage: Eukaryota; Metazoa; Arthropoda; Insecta; Diptera; Scathophagidae
Description: partial 12S ribosomal RNA
Source: RNAcentral